ACGAUUCCCCCAAAAUCUCAAACACCUCUCUCUCUGUUCAUCAACCUAGAACCCACCGGCGAACUCUGUCGACCAGCUCCGGUAAAGGACGAUUAUUUCCGGUGAGGGACGACCAUUAUCGGCUAACAUACCACAAUCUCUGAGGUUUUGAUUUUGUGUUAGAAACCAUGAGAUUUGAUGUUUGCUAUCGAUGUUCGAUAUUCGAUGUUCAAUGUUCGAUGUUUUGUCGACAAUUGCUAUUCAUGAAGACAUCAGAACUGGAAAGGAAUGGCCAUGGAAAAUCCUGUAGCAAUAUGAUUGAACCUGUAAAACGUGUUUUGGAUGGAAUGUAGCCGGGAGCAGGGGCGGAGCCACCUUAGCUUAAGUGGUGUCAUCCGACACCACUUCGUUGGAAAAUUUACCUAUAUAUAUAUUUGAUUAGUAUACAAAAACGAACCAAAUAUGUUAAAAUUACAUUACUUGUCACAAAGGAAGGCGCAACUCUGAUGGUGAAGCGCCUAAACUUAUUCAGAAGUGUCGUGGGUUCGAACCAAAUAGUUACGCAUCUAUGUGCUUUUAACUUUUCAGCAUAUAGGGUCUAGGGAUAGUUUGUAUUUCACUUGCUACUACUUAUCUUGCAUAUUUUCUUCCUUUUUUUUGGCAA
Molecule: non-coding RNA, 643 nt
Organism: Nicotiana tabacum (common tobacco)
Lineage: Eukaryota; Viridiplantae; Streptophyta; Magnoliopsida; Solanales; Solanaceae
Source: RefSeq, a predicted model, not a curated record